Molecule: RNA transcript, 869 nt
Organism: Stomoxys calcitrans (stable fly)
Lineage: Eukaryota; Metazoa; Arthropoda; Insecta; Diptera; Muscidae
Gene name: protein LLP homolog
Exons: 3
Source: RefSeq, a predicted model, not a curated record
ACAACUUUGCUAACGUAACAGACAUAAAUAAAGGCAUCAACACGUGUUAAGUUGAAGAAAAAACUAUUGAAAAAUACUAAAUUCAAGUUCAAUAACUUUGUGAUAAUUGUGUUAAUACCGUAAAUACAUAAAAAACCAAACAUCCAAAUGGGUCGCACAAAUAGAUCGCGUAAACGUCGCGAAGAAAAUAGCAAAGCCAAAAAGGCACGCUAUGAAGUCAAAGAAUUGGCCCGGCUGAAGAAAACUUUGGGCAUCAUGGACACAGAUGAGCAAAUGAAGGACCUAGAGGAGGUGGCCACCAUUAAAACAGCAAAGGAAUUGAAAAUCGAAAAGAAAACCAAAGAGGAGGAACAACUCGAGUUCGAAUUGCAAGAGGAACGCGAGCAGGGUCAAAGUGUCACAGUUGUUAACGAAAAAACUGGCAAGACACAUGUUUACAAUACAAAAACUCUUAAAGAUCAACAUGGCUCUUAUCCACCUUGGUUCAAACCCAAAAAGACAGCCAAACGUAUGCGCAAGAGGGAUCAUGCCCGCAAAAUGAAAUUCAAGCAAGCCUGGACAGUAACAAAUGUCCCCCUAUAGACCACAAAGAAAGUUCAACGUUUUAUUUGUUAAGAAGCUGUGAAUAGUGAAAAUAGUUUAUUUGAAAUGCAUAGACUCAUGAAAAACACCAUUUACCCAAUCAGACAUAAAACACAUUAGGAUCAUAUUCAUCCAAACAUUAUCAUCAAACAAUACCAUCAUGCGAGCAAGAAUUCAAUGAGGGUAAGUUAAUAUGUAUGUCCAAUUACUUGCAAACUACAAAACUAUGCUGGCACAGAAGUUUCUCAUUGAAUGUCUUUGCGGCAAAUGUGGCCUAAAAUCCCAAU